GAAGAGGGAAACAACCCAGACCGCCAGCUAAGGUCCCAAAGUCAUGGUUAAGUGGGAAACGAUGUGGGAAGGCCCAGACAGCCAGGAUGUUGGCUUAGAAGCAGCCAUCAUUUAAAGAAAGCGUAAUAGCUCACUGGUCGAGUCGGCCUGCGCGGAAGAUGUAACGGGGCUAAACCAUGCACCGAAGCUGCGGCAGCGACGCUGAUGCGUUGUUGGGUAGGGGAGCGUUCUGUAAGCCUGUGAAGGUGUGCUGUGAGGUAUGCUGGAGGUAUCAGAAGUGCGAAUGCUGACAUAAGUAACGAUAAAGCGGGUGAAAAGCCCGCUCGCCGGAAGACCAAGGGUUCCUGUCCAACGUUAAUCGGGGCAGGGUGAGUCGACCCCUAAGGCGAGGCCGAAAGGCGUAGUCGAUGGGAAACAGGUUAAUAUUCCUGUACUUGGUGUUACUGCGAAGGGGGGACGGAGAAGGCUAUGUUGGCCGGGCGACGGUUGUCCCGGUUUAAGCGUGUAGGCUGGUUUUCCAGGCAAAUCCGGAAAACUAAGGCUGAGGCGUGAUGACGAGGCACUACGGUGCUGAAGCAACAAAUGCCCUGCUUCCAGGAAAAGCCUCUAAGCAUCAGGUAACAUCAAAUCGUACCCCAAACCGACACAGGUGGUCAGGUAGAGAAUACCAAGGCGCUUGAGAGAACUCGGGUGAAGGAACUAGGCAAAAUGGUGCCGUAACUUCGGGAGAAGGCACGCUGAUAUGUAGGUGAAGUCCCUCGCGGAUGGAGCUGAAAUCAGUCGAAGAUACCAGCUGGCUGCAACUGUUUAUUAAAAACACAGCACUGUGCAAACACGAAAGUGGACGUAUACGGUGUGACGCCUGCCCGGUGCCGGAAGGUUAAUUGAUGGGGUCAGCGCAAGCGAAGCUCUUGAUCGAAGCCCCGGUAAACGGCGGCCGUAACUAUAACGGUCCUAAGGUAGCGAAAUUCCUUGUCGGGUAAGUUCCGACCUGCACGAAUGGCGUAAUGAUGGCCAGGCUGUCUCCACCCGAGACUCAGUGAAAUUGAACUCGCUGUGAAGAUGCAGUGUACCCGCGGCAAGACGGAAAGACCCCGUGAACCUUUACUAUAGCUUGACACUGAACAUUGAGCCUUGAUGUGUAGGAUAGGUGGGAGGCUUUGAAGUGUGGACGCCAGUCUGCAUGGAGCCGACCUUGAAAUACCACCCUUUAAUGUUUGAUGUUCUAACGUUGACCCGUAAUCCGGGUUGCGGACAGUGUCUGGUGGGUAGUUUGACUGGGGCGGUCUCCUCCUAAAGAGUAACGGAGGAGCACGAAGGUUGGCUAAUCCUGGUCGGACAUCAGGAGGUUAGUGCAAUGGCAUAAGCCAGCUUGACUGCGAGCGUGACGGCGCGAGCAGGUGCGAAAGCAGGUCAUAGUGAUCCGGUGGUUCUGAAUGGAAGGGCCAUCGCUCAACGGAUAAAAGGUACUCCGGGGAUAACAGGCUGAUACCGCCCAAGAGUUCAUAUCGACGGCGGUGUUUGGCACCUCGAUGUCGGCUCAUCACAUCCUGGGGCUGAAGUAGGUCCCAAGGGUAUGGCUGUUCGCCAUUUAAAGUGGUACGCGAGCUGGGUUUAGAACGUCGUGAGACAGUUCGGUCCCUAUCUGCCGUGGGCGCUGGAGAACUGAGGGGGGCUGCUCCUAGUACGAGAGGACCGGAGUGGACGCAUCACUGGUGUUCGGGUUGUCAUGCCAAUGGCACUGCCCGGUAGCUAAAUGCGGAAGAGAUAAGUGCUGAAAGCAUCUAAGCACGAAACUUGCCCCGAGAUGAGUUCUCCCUGACUCCUUGAGAGUCCUGAAGGAACGUUGAAGACGACGACGUUGAUAGGCCGGGUGUGUAAGCGCAGCGAUGCGUUGAGCUAACCGGUACUAAUGAACCGUGAGGCUUAACCUUACAACGCCGAAGGUGUUU
This 1952-nucleotide ribosomal RNA is filed under the name Shigella flexneri. RNAcentral describes it as "partial 23S ribosomal RNA". It matches the Rfam family "Bacterial large subunit ribosomal RNA", at positions 1012 to 2925 of the family's 2925-position model. The record is from RNAcentral. Lineage: Bacteria; Pseudomonadati; Pseudomonadota; Gammaproteobacteria; Enterobacterales; Enterobacteriaceae.